RNAcentral lists this ribosomal RNA (486 nucleotides) under uncultured bacterium. Its description in RNAcentral is "partial 16S ribosomal RNA". It matches the Rfam family "Bacterial small subunit ribosomal RNA", at positions 28 to 507 of the family's 1533-position model. The record is from RNAcentral.
GACGAACGCUGGCGGCGUGCUUAACACAUGCAAGUCGAACGGGAUCCAAAGGCUUUUUGUUUUUGGUGAGAGUGGCGAACGGGUGAGUAACACGUGAGUAACCUGCCCCCUUCUUUUGGAUAACCGCAUGAAAGUGUGGCUAAUACAGGAUAUUCCAGGCUGGUCGCAUGAUUGGUUUGGGAAAUGGUUUGGUCUGGUGGGGGAUGGGCUCGCGGCCUAUCAGCUUGUUGGUGGGGUGAUGGCCUACCAAGGCGGUGACGGGUAGCCGGCCUGAGAGGGUGGGCGGUCACACUGGGACUGAGAUAAGGCCCAGACGGCUACGGGAGGCAGCAGUGGGGGAUUUUGCACAAUGGGCGCAAGCCUGAUGCAGCGACGCCGCGUGAGGGAUGAAGGCCUUCGGGUUGUAAACCUCUUUCGCUGGGUUGAAAGGCCAUGCUUUGGGUGUGGUUGAUUUGAACUGGUAAAGAAGUACCGGCUAACUACGUG